This 2826-nucleotide long non-coding RNA is filed under the name Taeniopygia guttata (zebra finch). Its description in RNAcentral is "lncRNA (ENSTGUG00000025215.1)". The record is from RNAcentral. Lineage: Eukaryota; Metazoa; Chordata; Aves; Passeriformes; Estrildidae.
UUUUUUUUUUUCUUUUUUUUUUUUAACUGCUGGUAUGCCAUCUGUGGGUAAUAAAAACUGGAUAAAUGCAGGAUCCCACAUGGAUAAAAGACAUUGUCUGUCGGCAGAGCUGAUGGCAGUGAAUUUUUUCCUGGUGAAUUUUUGCUUCUGCUUCUCAGAUGUAGGGGAUUCCCAUGAAGAAUUUUUCUUCUCUUGCAACAAUUGCUGGCCUCACUGAGUAACAGUGUCUGUACUUUUUUUUCCUUUUGUCAUUUUCCCAUGGGAUGGCAUCCCUUUGAACUUAGAACUUAGGGGAAAAUCCAAAGAAAAUGAAAGAUGCAGAAGAGAGGAAGAAUGCCUGUCUUUCUGUGAGCAAAUGUUUCUAAUUUUCAGCCCAGCUGUGCCAUUCCAGGACUUCUUUUCAGUAUUCAUCACUUGGCCUGGGACAAUCCAGUGGUGCUUUUGGGCAGGUUUAGAAAAAAAGUUGUAUAACUCUUUAUUUUUAAAGGUUAUGAAAGUUUCACGAGGUUUUUGAAACAGUUCCCCCUUUCUAAUGUAAAUUGGCAGGGGAAAUUUAAUUAACAAAUGAAUCUCGUCCUAUCCGCAUCUCUUCAAAAAAGGAAGAAGGGAGUUGAAAAGAAAGCUGACUGUUCUGACUAGGAGGGGAAUUGAGCCCAGCAAGGACCUUGCUCUCUGCAGUUGGGAUUUUGCUAGAACUACACAGACAUUAAACUUGAAAACUCCUGUCCUAGCUGUGAUGGCUGUAAACUAACUUCAGCAAAGGGAAUUCUUUGCCUCCUUCUAUAAGAGACCUCCAGCUGCCCUCACAGGCCAUCACAGGACUAUUUUUAGCAAGCAUUUGCAAGCAGCCUCUUUUCAGAGUCACACGAGAUGCUUUUAUUUUGUGUGUGUUUUAACUUGGCAGUACUGCAGCCAGUUGUAGGUGGCAGAAAGCUGAUGGAAAAUGUUUUCUGGAUGGAAAGUCACGCUGAGGCCAGCCCACUUCCUGCUUCAGGGAGAUGCUGCUGCUCUGCAGCCUGGCCCUAGACAUCAUGGGGAGGCCAACACAUGGGCCAGUAACCUGGGUAUUAGGCAACUAAAAGCACGGCUGGAGAAGGGAUUUUGCCCUAAACCCAUAUGCAAAGCAGCAGCUAGCUGCAGAUGCAGGGGCCAGUGGAGCCCUCAUUAUCAAUUAAGCAAAAAAGGCUGUUGUCUUCCCUGUAACUCCUCGAAGGAGUUCCACAGUCGUACAAUACUUGCCUGAAGGGAUGACAUAAGAGAAGACAGCAUAAAGCAAAGGUCUUGGAGUGGUAAAGGUCAUCGGUGCUGCUUUGUGCUGUUGAAGUACUCCCCUUUUUAUUUAUUUGUUUGUUUGUUUGUUUGUUUGUUUAAAUCAUCACGUUCAAGCAAUUUUUCUAUGCAAUUUUCUGUAUGGUACACAAGACAAAAAGAAGAGAAACAAACAAGCUCAGCUUUUUGGAUAUAGGGUGGGGCCUAUCACAACCCUAGUUUCCUGUGUUGCCUCUCACCCAAGUGUUGCAGUUCUGGGGAGCUCAGACAGGCCCCCAGGGGAUGGAGCAGCUGUACCUAUCCAGGGACAGGGGUUGGCCCUGCUGAAACAGAAGCAAAAUUUCAUGAACCCUGAUGAAAAAGGAGCAAAAAUCCAUGAGCGCUGCAGGCAUCUGUGCCAACCUGAACCUUCUUUUUCUGCUUGUGUAUUCUGGUUUAAUACCUCUGCUAUGUCUGCGUUAAUUUCAGAGAAGUGUUUUCUUGUCAUUUUGAGAGGAGAUUAACAUUCUCUGCAUUUCUAAUUUGGGAUUAUGUUAGCAGUCUCUGCUGCCUGGUCCAGCAGGUACUUCAAUGCCAAAGGACUACCUAAAAGUUACUUUAACAAUGUAAAAACUGUAACCACGGGAGGUGGUUUUGCACUGCAUACCUAAGAGCUACGUUUUACAAAAGCCCCCUCCACUUUAGGUGCCCUGAGCACUCAAUUGGCAAGGCUGUGGUGCUGCAGGGAUGUGAUGUUUGUUUUUAUUCUACCUUGCAGAAAGCAACUGGCAGGGCUCUGAAAAGCAGCCUCAAGUGUCUGAAUACUGAGAAGGGGCUGUAGGGUUUUAAUCUGUUUUAAAAGAACGUGAAGAAUUCUUGCUGCUUCCUCCAGCAAACAUAUUAAAUUGUAAUUUCCUGAUUGCCACACUAAUCAUGACCAUCUAGUGCUGUUGAUUUACCAGAGUUGGUCCCACAACUUCAUCCUUUUUGUGACUGCUGCUGCAGAUACCCAUUAACUGUUUCCUCUCAUUUAAUCGCAAAGACCGUAUGUGGCUCCCAGGAUAUGUAUCAGGAAAUUUAUCAGUUAACAACAUUCAGCAAGAUCUUGGCCCAGGAUGUUAAAACAAAACAAAUCAGUGAAGUAGACCUGGUGUCUGUACUUGUAUGUGCACGUGCAGAUACCCCUUGGAAUAGGACUCUGGUUUGUUGCUUCAAAAGUCGAUGGACUUUGCUAGUGCAAGGGAAGCCAGGGGACACUUGACAUUGUCAUUUUGAUAAUAUUUUGCAGUUAAAAUCCACGUUUCCCAUUUACAGCUGCUACAGAGAUAAGAACCAGGCAGCUCCAAACAAUUAGUCCAAUGGUAAACAAGGAAAACGUAUUUCCCUCCUGCCUUCUAAUAAUAAUAUAAGUAAGUAAUUUGAAAGCUUAAAAAAAACAGCCAAAAGAGAGAAAGGAAGGUUAUGCAAAGUCAAUUUUUGUCAGCCAGGAUGAAGGCAAAAGGUAGUCACAUGUGCCAUGUGGCCUGUAUUCCUACCUUCUCAAAUCUUUUCAUCAGAGGUUAUUUUGGGUUGGUCAUA